Molecule: unclassified non-coding RNA, 25 nt
Filed under: Mus musculus (house mouse)
Lineage: Eukaryota; Metazoa; Chordata; Mammalia; Rodentia; Muridae
Description: oocyte_clustered_small_RNA13302
Source: RNAcentral
UACCCACAUCUCUGUCCUGCCAUUG